Molecule: ribosomal RNA, 433 nt
Filed under: uncultured bacterium
Lineage: Bacteria
Description: partial 16S ribosomal RNA
Rfam family: Bacterial small subunit ribosomal RNA
Source: RNAcentral
AACGAACGCUGGCGGCAGGCCUAACACAUGCAAGUCGAGCGCGCCCUUCGGGGUGAGCGGCGGACGGGUGAGUAACGCGUGGGAACGUGCCCUUUUCUACGGAAUAGCCUCGGGAAACUGAGAGUAAUACCGUAUACGCCCUUUGGGGGAAAGAUUUAUCGGAAAAGGAUCGGCCCGCGUUGGAUUAGGUAGUUGGUGGGGUAAUGGCCUACCAAGCCGACGAUCCAUAGCUGGGUUGAGAGGAUGAUCAGCCACACUGGGACUGAGACACGGCCCAGACUCCUACGGGAGGCAGCAGUGGGGAAUCUUAGACAAUGGGGGCAACCCUGAUCGAGCCAUGCCGCGUGAGUGAUGAAGGCCUUAGGGUUGUAAAGCUCUUUAAGCUGGGAAGAUAAUGACGGUACCAGCAGAAGAAGCCCCGGCUAACUCCGUG